UGGCCUACGGGACGCAGCAGUGGGGAAUAUUGCACAAUGGGGGAAACCCUGAUGCAGCAACGCCGCGUGAGUGAAGAAGUAUUUCGGUAUGUAAAGUUCUAUCAGCAGGGAAGAAAAUGACGGUACCUGACUAAGAAGCCCCGGCUAACUACGUGCCAGCAGCCGCGGUAAUACGUAGGGGGCAAGCGUUAUCCGGAUUUACUGGGUGUAAAGGGAGCGUAGACGGUCCUGCAAGCCAGAUGUGAAAGCCCGGGGCUCAACCCCGGGACUGCAUUUGGAACUGAAAGGCUAGAG
RNAcentral lists this ribosomal RNA (294 nucleotides) under uncultured bacterium. Its description in RNAcentral is "partial 16S ribosomal RNA". It matches the Rfam family "Bacterial small subunit ribosomal RNA", at positions 335 to 646 of the family's 1533-position model. The record is from RNAcentral.